RNAcentral lists this ribosomal RNA (468 nucleotides) under uncultured bacterium. RNAcentral describes it as "partial 16S ribosomal RNA". It matches the Rfam family "Bacterial small subunit ribosomal RNA", at positions 28 to 507 of the family's 1533-position model. The record is from RNAcentral.
GACGAACGCUGGCGGCGUGCUUAACACAUGCCAGUCGAACGGAAAGGCCCUGCUUUUGUGGGGUGCUCGAGUGGCGAACGGGUGAGUAACACGUGAGUAACCUGCCCUUGACUUUGGGAUAACUUCAGGAAACUGGGGCUAAUACCGGAUAGGAGCUCCUGCUGCAUGGUGGGGGUUGGAAAGUUUCGGCGGUUGGGGAUGGACUCGCGGCUUAUCAGCUUGUUGGUGGGGUAGUGGCUUACCAAGGCUUUGACGGGUAGCCGGCCUGGGAGGGUGACCGGCGACAUUGGGACUGAGAUACGGCCCAGACUCCUACGGGAGGCAGCAGUGGGGAAUAUUGCACAAUGGGCGGAAGCCUGAUGCAGCAACGCCGCGUGCGGGAUGACGGCCUUCGGGUUGUAAACCGCUUUCGCCUGUGACGAAGCGUGAGUGACGGUAAUGGGUAAAGAAGCACCGGCUAACUACGUG